RNAcentral lists this small nucleolar RNA (79 nucleotides) under Myotis brandtii (Brandt's bat). RNAcentral describes it as "Small nucleolar RNA SNORA5". It matches the Rfam family "Small nucleolar RNA SNORA5". Rfam says of the family: ACA5 is a member of the H/ACA class of snoRNA that guide the sites of modification of uridines to pseudouridines. The record is from Rfam by way of RNAcentral. Lineage: Eukaryota; Metazoa; Chordata; Mammalia; Chiroptera; Vespertilionidae.
UGCAGCCAUGUCAAAUUCGGUGCCUGCCCCAUCCAUGGCAGACACUGGCCCCGCCCCCCCCCCCCCCCAAAAAAAAAUA